RNAcentral lists this ribosomal RNA (478 nucleotides) under uncultured bacterium. Its description in RNAcentral is "partial 16S ribosomal RNA". It matches the Rfam family "Bacterial small subunit ribosomal RNA", at positions 28 to 507 of the family's 1533-position model. The record is from RNAcentral.
GAUGAACGCUGGCGGCGUGCUUAACACAUGCAAGUCGAACGGGAAACCUUUUAUUGCAGCUUCGGCAGGUUUAGCUGGUUUCUAGUGGCGGACGGGUGAUUAACGCGUGGGUAACCUGCCUUAUACAGGGGGAUAACAACCAGAAAUGGUUGCUAAUACCGCAUAAGUGCAAAGGACCGCAUGGUCCGGUGUGCAAAACUCCGGUGGCCUAAGAUGGACCCGCGUUGGAUUAGCUAGUUGGCAGGGUAACGGCCUACCAAGGCGACGAUCCAUAGCCGGCCUGAGAGGGUGGACGGCCACAUUUGGAGUGAGACACGGCCCAGACUCCUACGGGAGGCAGCAGUGGGGAAUACUGCACAAUGGGGGAAAUCAUGAUGCAGCGACGCCGCGUGAAGGAAGAAGUAUGUAGGUAUGUAAACUUCUAUCAGCAGGGAAGAUAGUGACGGUACCUGACGAAGAAGCCCCGGCUAACUACGUG